RNAcentral lists this long non-coding RNA (217 nucleotides) under Malus domestica (apple). RNAcentral's name for it is "long non-coding RNA (MDOM_LNC006657)". The record is from RNAcentral. Lineage: Eukaryota; Viridiplantae; Streptophyta; Magnoliopsida; Rosales; Rosaceae.
AAUUUUGCUCUGCUCAUGAUUUAAUUGGAAGACAGCUUAGAGAGAGAGAGAUGUUUAUAUAGGGGUGGCCUCACGGGUAGUGUAGAAGCCAUCUGGAGUAGAAGACUCGACGGCUUUCUGAGCGGAAAUAGGGAAGUGGGUGGAGGCCCGUAAGGCGGACAAGUCGGAGGUGCAGGACCAUGUCGGGUCGGUGGGCCGGAUCUGUGCGUUGAGCUUG